This 270-nucleotide ribosomal RNA is filed under the name uncultured archaeon. Its description in RNAcentral is "partial 16S ribosomal RNA". It matches the Rfam family "Archaeal small subunit ribosomal RNA", at positions 477 to 747 of the family's 1478-position model. The record is from RNAcentral.
CAGCACCUCAAGUGGUCAGGAUGAUUAUUGGGCCUAAAGCAUCCGUAGCCUGUUCUGUAAGUUUCCGGUUAAAUCCAUUAGCUCAACUAAUGGGCCGCCGAAAAUACUGCAGAACUAGGGAGUGGGAGAGGUAGACGGUACUCGGUAGGAAGGGGUAAAAUCCUUUGAUCUAUUGAUGACCACCUGUGGCGAAGGCGGUCUACCAGAACACGUUCGACGGUGAGGGAUGAAAGCUGGGGGAGCAAACCGGAUUAGAUACCCGAGUAGUCC